CGAAAGCCUGACGGAGCAACGCCGCGUGUGGGAAGAAGGCCUUUGGGCUGUCAACCACUUUUCUCAGGGAAGAAGUUCUGACGGUACCUGAGGAAUCAGCCUCGGCUAACUCCGUGCCAGCAGCCGCGGUAAUACGGAGGAGGCAAGCGUUAUCCGGAAUCAUUGGGCGUAAAGCGUUCGUAGGCGGCUGUUCAAGUCUGCUGUCAAAGGUCGGAGCUCAACUCCGGUUCGGCAGUGGAAACUGGUGAGCUAGAGGGCGACAGGGGUAGAGGGAAUUCCCAGUGUAGCGGUGAAAUGCGUAGAUAUUGGGAAGAACACCGGUGGCGAAAGCGCUUUGCUGGACCGAACCUGACGCUGAGGGACGAAAGCUAGGGGAGCG
RNAcentral lists this ribosomal RNA (379 nucleotides) under uncultured cyanobacterium. RNAcentral's name for it is "bacterial SSU rRNA". It matches the Rfam family "Bacterial small subunit ribosomal RNA", at positions 376 to 770 of the family's 1533-position model. The record is from RNAcentral. Lineage: Bacteria; Bacillati; Cyanobacteriota.